UAUCAUUAUUUGUGAUACCUAUUCUGGGAUCUUGUUUGCAUUUAACAUAUACACUUUCUUCUUUGCUUCAUUUUUGAACUUUGUUAAUGUCUUAUAAUUAAGAAUAGGGAAACAAUACAAGGUUUGCAUAAACCUAGUCUGAUUAUGUUCUAUGGAAACCAAAACCUGUCCCUAUCUGUCUCAAGUUUGAAAGAUAAAAAAUAAUAACCAAGUAAAUGACAAUACAAAUAACCAUCCUUACCUAGCUGCAAAAAUUGCAUGAUGCAAUAAGGAAGGGAGAACUCUGAUCCUUCCCUUGUUAUGCAAAAGAAUACUUACUAUACAUCAAACUAGAAAAGCGUCAAAGAAAGCAAUGAGUAUGUGUGAUGAAAAAUCCAAGAGUCUCCAAUUUAAUUUUGAUUUUUAGAAUGCCUAAACAAGUCCAUCUUGUUCAUUUAAUGGCAAUAAAAUUCACUUCUUCCAAAUCGAGGUGCCAAUUCGAAUGGCUGGGUUUUGGCCUGUUUGCACAUAAAAAUCAGAGUCAUUGGGCCUAUGAAUUAGUGCAGAAUCCAUUUGGAUUAGUUAUGAAAGACGUGUAUCAAUACCCUGUAUAGAACUUAAAAGUAACAACUAUAUUCAAACAGUUAAAAAUGAUUAUAAUCAAGUAGAUUAGAUGAGAAUCUCUAGUGAUGUUUAUUAUGUGUUCUUGCAUUUGUGUAUGUUUGUAUAUAUGUGAAUGGAAUUUUAUAUAUAAAAUAUAUUUUUAUAACUAAUAAUAUAUAGAAAUUUCUUCUGAUGGGGUCCUCUUUGUUAAAGUAGGCCCUAUAGCAGUCUAAUCCUCGAGUCUUGCCAGAGACUCCUUAGUCUCUUCAAUCAUAGAAAAUGGCUCCUAGUCUCCCCCUCUAUCCUCCCAUGCCAUUUCUACCAUUUGGCUCUCUCUCGACUCUUCUGCCUAAAAUUCUCCCCUUCCUCCGCUUGGAAUCUUAUUCGCUCUCCUAGUCCCUCUAUUCCUUGGCAUAAGAUUGUUUGGUUUAAAUCUCACAUCCCCCGACAUAGCUUCACAGUUUGGAGAGCUCUCUCCAACUGCCUUCCUACGUAGGCCUUUCUCAUCCAUCGCCAUAUCCCCGUCCCGCAGCUUGUUGCUUGUGCUGGAACCAACCAUUUAUUUUUCGAUUGCCACUUCACCUCCUUCAUCUGGAAGCGUGUCCUUGUCAAAUGCUGACCGGCCAAGAGAAGUCCCUUCACACUUGAAGAGAGAAUGGAUAUAGAUCAACAUGACCUUUGGCCCCUAGCUCUAUCGGUGAAGCGGAGUGCCUACAUAUUGCUGGGAUUGGCCUAACAUAGCACCUAAUCUAAUAAUACAAUAAUACAAUAGGUGUCAUGUCCUCAAGGGUGCAACUGAUUUUUUAUUAUUUUUUCUGGGAAGGGGGAGACCCAAUAAGUAUAAUAGGUGAAUUAUGAUACAAAACUUUAUUCAACAUAAACCAACCAUGGUUCAAUUUGCUUACUUUGCCAGUCAGGAUGAUUGUAUACUUCAAAAUUAUUUCCAUGAAUCUAUUUAAUCCCUUUCUGCUCAGACAUUUUUAUUGGAGGAAUUGAGCAAGGGGGACCACUAUUAAGUCAGAUCAUUCCAAAAUCAGGUGUUAUACAGUGGGUGAUGGAGCUCUGCUUAAGUGGUAAGUCUUAUGCAUUUAUCAAUUUGUACUUUGUUAUGCAAGUGAAGGCUCUUAUUCAUAUUCAGUUUACUGGUAAUAUUGACGACGUGGUUCUUUGGCAUUACCCAGUUGCAUCGGCUUAUACUCAGUUAUUUUAUAAUUUUUGUUGCAUUAGGAUUGGUCUCGUUUCAAAUCUAAGUACAACUUUCUUCUUUUUUAUAUGCCACCUUGAAUAUGUAUCUCAAUACAGGGGUUGUAAAAGGAAAACCAAAAAAGUAACGUAAAGGGUGGAAAAUGAAAAACAAGAAGUCAAUCUCAUGUGCAAUGGACAGUUAGCCGGUUUCUUUUUUUCUUUUUUCUCAUUUUUUUGGUUAAAUUCAUUUUCUAACUAUCUGUGGCUACUUGUUAAUAUUACAGGUAAAUAUGGAAAUAGAUGUUGAGGCAUGUAUAUCUGAGGCAGUGAUAGGAUGGAAAGAUUGCUGAUAAAAGAAAUUAUGAAGAAAGCGGAUCUUAAUGUUGUAAUUGUUCCUUCCUCAACCUCAUGAGAAAAAUUUAUAGUUUGGAGUUCCACUUGCUUGAUUGAAGUAAAGGUGCUGUCAUUGGAAGAAAGAUUUGAAAUCUGUUAAUUCUAUUAAAACACUAACCUGCUGGCGCAAGUACACUCCAUCGUGCAGGAGAAUCUUCAAUGCGGAAGCAACACGGUCUUUCAGCCCCAGAUGUGUCUAGGCGUAGACAAACACAAAUGGGUAGCUUUUUUUCUUCCCAUAUUUAAUUGGAAUGAUUUCUGUUUGGAGUUACAGAGCAGAUGGAUGAAGUGUUUUGCUACUCCGUGAGCUUGCUCGAAAGACAUACUUUCCACUAUAAUAAGUUGAGACUUGAUUUCCUACCA
Molecule: long non-coding RNA, 2523 nt
Organism: Macadamia integrifolia
Lineage: Eukaryota; Viridiplantae; Streptophyta; Magnoliopsida; Proteales; Proteaceae
Exons: 2
Source: RefSeq, a predicted model, not a curated record